GCACAGGUAGGUCAGUGGUAGAACUCCUGCCCGCUAAGCGGAAGCCCCGGAUUCGAUUCCCGGUCUGUGCA
Pristionchus pacificus is the source of this 71-nucleotide non-coding RNA. The record is from Rfam. NCBI's taxonomy places the organism in Eukaryota, Metazoa, Nematoda, Chromadorea, Rhabditida, Neodiplogasteridae.